This is a non-coding RNA of Cajanus cajan (pigeon pea), 450 nucleotides long. The record is from RefSeq and is a predicted model, not a curated record. Lineage: Eukaryota; Viridiplantae; Streptophyta; Magnoliopsida; Fabales; Fabaceae.
CCCCGCCGCACUGCGCACAUUGUUGACUACGCUCCUCUACAACACAAGAGUUAUUGUGCUCCUCUACAGCACAAAACCCUGGUCCUAGCUGUUCAGGAGAAUAGUGGACAAUUUCAGGGAAUUGGAGUCUACAAAUUCCCUACUGGAGUUGUUGAGCAGGAAGAGGAUAUUUUUGUAGUAGCAGUAAGAGAGGUCAAAGAAGAAACAGGGUUAUUUGAGAAAGUUAAGGCAUUAUAAGAAGUCUGCAUUUUGAAGCAUGUUAUUACCAGGCAAUUGAAGCAGCUAUAGAACUGAAUCUUAAAACAGUAGAGGCGGGAGCUCAGGGUGAACACAAGAUUUAACGUGGAUAUCUUCCUGUGACAACUUUUAGCUGUCAUUACCUUGUUGAUGAAGAAUUUAGGGAAGCUAUACAAGAAUUUUUAAUACGUGAAGCUUCCCAGGUAUGAUGAA